CAGCGGUGGGACCUGAAACGGCUGCAGAAGGUAUUUUGGCAAGAAAUUCUGGUGCUGGAAAAUGCCUAAAGGGAUGAUAUUUCCCAAGUAGUGCUGAUGAAAUGUCAGGCAGAGCCUGGAGGAAACGAGAGAGUGGUGUAAGAAAGUGGAAACCUGAGAGUCACUGUUAAAACAUCACCCUGGUGCUGGCAGCACUGCAAGACUAUUGCAAAAGACAAGGAAGAGAGCGAUGAGAUGGGACUGUUGUAUGUCACUGCUCUCUGAGUUGGCCUUUUCCUUUGGAAUACCACCCAAGAACUGAAGGUGGAGUUUGGUCUGUGACAAGAGAAUGUGGAGCAAUCGUGGGCUCAUCCAAACAGUCCUGUGUCUGGUGGCAGUCAGGAAAGUGUCUGUGAUGGCUCCACAUUUCAUGGGCAGGUAAAACUGAGAGAGACAUCUGACUGAAGAGAAAACCAAACCAACCAACCAACCCCUCAUGAUGAAACAUGGAAAAGAAAAAAGUUCAGUAUGUGUCAGCUGUAGAGUUGAAAAUACCAUUUCCAGUAACUUCUGUCACAUCCCAUACAAUU
Molecule: long non-coding RNA, 569 nt
Organism: Hirundo rustica (Barn swallow)
Lineage: Eukaryota; Metazoa; Chordata; Aves; Passeriformes; Hirundinidae
Exons: 3
Source: RefSeq, a predicted model, not a curated record